UACGGAGGGUGCAAGCGUUAUCCGGAUUUACUGGGUUUAAAGGGUGCGUAGGUGGAUUUGUAAGUCAGUGGUGAAAUCUCUGAGCUUAACUCAGAAACUGCCAUGGAUACUAUUUGUCUUGAAUACUGUGGAGGUAAGCGGAAUAUGUCAUGUAGCGGUGAAAUGCUUAGAUAUGACAUGGAACACCAAUUGCGAAGGCAGCUUACUACACAAAUAUUGACGCUGAGGCACGAAAGCGUGGGGAUCAAACAGG
RNAcentral lists this ribosomal RNA (253 nucleotides) under uncultured bacterium. Its description in RNAcentral is "partial 16S ribosomal RNA". It matches the Rfam family "Bacterial small subunit ribosomal RNA", at positions 524 to 776 of the family's 1533-position model. The record is from RNAcentral.